Tripterygium wilfordii is the source of this 1469-nucleotide long non-coding RNA. RefSeq lists it as uncharacterized. The transcript is spliced from 4 exons. NCBI's taxonomy places the organism in Eukaryota, Viridiplantae, Streptophyta, Magnoliopsida, Celastrales, Celastraceae. The record is from RefSeq and is a predicted model, not a curated record.
GAAAGCAGAGGCGGUCAAAGAGGUUGAGAGCGCGAGGAGGCAAUGGCGGAAGCCAAGAAGAUUGAGUGGAGGCAAAGCCACCGCCUCGUGCUGUAUAGCGUCACUGACCGGGCUGGCCUCGUCGCAACCGCGGGAGAGGUCUGGCUGUGAACGAAGACGUUUUUUGACUGGGAAAUUUGCUACCAGUAAUUCCAGUUCUAAAAGCUGGUGGCUUGAUGAUGUAAAUUUAAUUACGAUGGGCGCGUUCGUUGGUUUGAUAUGAGAUGCAAAGACGCACAACUUAUCAUGGAUGUUGGGGAAGAACCUAUAACUUCUUUAUGUUUCAGGCUCGGGAACGAAUAUAUCAUCUAUGUUUCUUCAGGAAAAGAAGUUAAGUGUUUUGAUGUGCAUAUGGUAAGAUUUUGCCUCACAUGGUUUGAUUAAUUCGGCCUAGAACCCACAGAAACAUAUUGGUGGCUCCCGACAUAAUUGAUUUUCUUAUAUGGAGUGUUGUGGAAGACAUUGAUGGGCAUAGCUGACUGGUGUUUGAAAAGGGAGGUCUUUUCGUUGAAAAUUUAAAGGCUUUGUUGUGGGUUGCCCAAGAUUGUAUACGUUGCAAAACCAGUUUGAUGGCCUGAACAUGAUAGGUUGGUUGACUGUUGACAUGCCAAAGAUAACCCAAUUUUCUUAACCUUUUAAGGUGGUUAGCUUUGGAAUUGGUAUCCAUAGUAAUUCUCGCAUUUAUGUUUAUGUAAUGAGAAAAUAUGUUUGAUGGAUGUUAAGUUGUAGGGUGCCUUUUUUUUUUCAGAUUGUUGCCUUUAGAAACUUAAAAGAAGAAAGCCCUGAAGUGGAAGAAAGGAGAGUUUUCUGGGCUUUGUUUUGCAUAAUAUUCUCUGUGCUUAAUUUCUGCAGUUGUUGGGAGUUCUAUCAUUAUCCUGAAAUGAGUAUAUUCAUCAGAACUAUUGCGCAAAACUUAGUGCUCUGUUAGUUAAAGCAUGACUGUCCCCAUGUAUGACAGUCAAUCACUGGAAGGCUUGAUUCAAAGCUUGUUAUGUGUCACUUCUCUAAAGGGCAGCGUCACAAAGUUGUCAAUUUUGGAGCCGUCCACAACAAAGCAUGCCAUGAAAUUGGCUUAGCCCAACACCAGCCCAGUAGUAGGCACGAGACAUAUGUAAUAGGCAAGUAUUGGAGAUGAUGGUUUUGAACCUAUGACCAAGAUCAUGGGAGAAGGCAAGUCUUAAUCCCUGUAAUGACACUGCAUUUAAAUCUGAGUAGGACUACUCGGUAUUUAAUGUGGUGAUCUUCUAAAUGAGUGUUUGCUCUGUAACCCAUAAGUAGAACAAGAGAGAAGAUGAUGUUAUACCAGCUGAGUAGAUGAAAAUUUUUAUUCACUGUAACAAUAAAUAUGUCUUUGGUCGUGAAUGUCAUAAGAAUUAUAUGUUCAUUAAUCAUCAUAUUCAAUGUUAAUUAUUUUGGUUAGUGGGAUUAAA